Molecule: non-coding RNA, 71 nt
Organism: Dipodomys ordii (Ord's kangaroo rat)
Lineage: Eukaryota; Metazoa; Chordata; Mammalia; Rodentia; Heteromyidae
Source: Rfam
GGUGGCUCAGUGGUAGAGUGCUUGCCUUGUGUGCAUGAGCAUGAGGCCCUGGGUUCGAUUCCCCAGCACCA